Long non-coding RNA from Sander lucioperca (pikeperch), 281 nucleotides. RefSeq lists it as uncharacterized. NCBI's taxonomy places the organism in Eukaryota, Metazoa, Chordata, Actinopteri, Perciformes, Percidae. The record is from RefSeq and is a predicted model, not a curated record. The transcript has 3 exons.
UCAAAUGAAGAUCACAAAACAUAUCUAGUUUAUUGACAUGCUUUUAUUUCAUCAAAAAAGUCAAAUAUCUAUGACUGUAUUACUGUAUGUCUUAUAGAGUCUUCUCACUCACAGCUUGGUCGACAUAAAGGCCUAAAAAAGUCAGAAAAAAAGUUCCUUAGCGAUCAUAGAAAAAAGUAAAAAGUGACAAUAACAUCGAAAGAAAUGUUGGAAGAAGUGGCAAAAAUGCCAAAACAAGCGCCAAAAAAAACGUCGGAAAGAGUGGGAGAAAAAAACUUCAG